CUUUCCCCACCACCAUUCACCACUGUCAUCUCUAUAAAACCAUAAAUCAAUAUUAGAAACACAAAAUACAAAACCCAAUUUCUCUUAAACUUACCCAUAAAUCACAAAUUCAACUCCAGCGGCAACUGGCCUCUUUGGCUCAUCAAAUGCAAACUCAUCAAAAUGCAAGCAGUUCCUCACCUUCCCAAAAGCAUUUACAGAGCUAAUCAACAUUCGGGCAUUGUAAAAGGUGUUUUCCAAAUUGGUUUUCAAAAGUGAAAAAACUUUUUCCCUUGGUAUAACCACUUAGCAUAAAUCUGUUAGUUGAUUUAUGGUGAUUUGGAUCUGUGUUUCUUGUGGCUAAUUUGGAUCGUUGACGUGGAUCUAACGGCUGUGGCUUAAAGGCAUAUUUUAGACUCUUGAGCUGGCCCGUCUAAUUGAUUUUCGGGACUUUCAUUUAAAAAGUCUAAUC
RNAcentral lists this long non-coding RNA (451 nucleotides) under Olea europaea subsp. europaea. Lineage: Eukaryota; Viridiplantae; Streptophyta; Magnoliopsida; Lamiales; Oleaceae. The record is from RNAcentral.